CGCACGGGUGAGUAACACGUAUCCAACCUGCCGUCUACUCUUGGACAGCCUUCUGAAAGGAAGAUUAAUACAAGAUGGCAUCAUGAGUCCACAUGUUCACAUGAUUAAAGGUAUUCCGGUAGACGAUGGGGAUGCGUUCCAUUAGAUAGUAGGCGGGGUAACGGCCCACCUAGUCUUCGAUGGAUAGGGGUUCUGAGAGGAAGGUCCCCCACAUUGGAACUGAGACACGGUCCAA
RNAcentral lists this ribosomal RNA (235 nucleotides) under uncultured bacterium. RNAcentral describes it as "partial 16S ribosomal RNA". It matches the Rfam family "Bacterial small subunit ribosomal RNA", at positions 99 to 334 of the family's 1533-position model. The record is from RNAcentral.